AUAGUUCAUACGGGAGUCAUGCUGGAAUGCCGACUCCCCAAAACGCUCAGGCGCUGUAGGAUGUGGCUGCGGCCGAUUAGGUAGACGGUGGGGUAACGGCCCACCGUGCCGAUAAUCGGUACGGGUUGUGAGAGCAAGAGCCCGGAGACGGAAUCUGAGACAAGAUUCCGGGCCCUACGGGGCGCAGCAGGCGCGAAACCUUUACACUGCACGCAAGUGCGAUAAGGGGACCCCAAGUGCGAGGGCAUAUAGUCCUCGCUUUUCACGACUGUAAGGCGGUCGUGGAAUAAGAGCUGGGCAAGACCGGUGCCAGCCGCCGCGGUAAUACCGGCAGCUCAAGUGAUGACCGAUAUUAUUGGGCCUAAAGCGUCCGUAGCCGGCCACGAAGGUUCAUCGGGAAAUCCGCCAGCUCAACUGGCGGGCGUCCGGUGAAAACCACGUGGCUUGGGACCGGAAGGCUCGAGGGGUACGUCCGGGGUAGGAGUGAAAUCCCGUAAUCCUGGACGGACCACCGAUGGCGAAAGCACCUCGAGAAGACGGAUCCGACGGUGAGGGACGAAAGCUAGGGUCUCGAACCGGAUUAGAUACCCGGGUAGUCCUAGCUGUAAACGAUGCUCGCUAGGUGUGACACAGGCUACGAGCCUGUGUUGUGCCGUAGGGAAGCCGAGAAGCGAGCCGCCUGGGAAGUACGUCCGCAAGGAUGAAACUUAAAGGAAUUGGCGGGGGAGCACUACAACCGGAGGAGCCUGCGGUUUAAUUGGACUCAACGCCGGACAUCUCACCAGCUCCGACUAUAGUAAUGACGGUCAGGUUGAUGACCUUACCACGACGCUAUAGAGAGGAGGUGCAUGGCCGCCGUCAGCUCGUACCGUGAGGCGUCCUGUUAAGUCAGGCAACGAGCGAGACCCGCACUUCUAAUUGCCAGCAGCAGUUUCGACUGGCUGGGUACAUUAGAAGGACUGCCGCUGCUAAAGCGGAGGAAGGAACGGGCAACGGUAGGUCAGUAUGCCCCGAAUGAGCUGGGCUACACGCGGGCUACAAUGGUCGAGACAAUGGGUUGCUAUCUCGAAAGAGAACGCUAAUCUCCUAAACUCGAUCGUAGUUCGGAUUGAGGGCUGAAACUCGCCCUCAUGAAGCUGGAUUCGGUAGUAAUUGCAUUUCAA
RNAcentral lists this ribosomal RNA (1163 nucleotides) under Haloferax sp. Its description in RNAcentral is "bacterial SSU rRNA". It matches the Rfam family "Archaeal small subunit ribosomal RNA", at positions 149 to 1308 of the family's 1478-position model. Lineage: Archaea; Methanobacteriati; Methanobacteriota; Halobacteria; Halobacteriales; Haloferacaceae. The record is from RNAcentral.